UUGGCAUUCUAUAUACUCAAUCUGAAACUUUACAACACUUCUUAUAAAUAAGCAUUAUUUUCCUCUUUGAGCCUCAGCUAACUUAAAGGUCCAAAGUAACACAAUCAAGUUAUAAUACUGACAUCUAUCUCCAUGGGAGGUGUUGACAUUUUGCUGAAACCUUCCAAGACGGGAACUCCUGCUGUGGAUAGGAGAUGCCAUUUCAUUGAAAAUGAGAAAUCAGAAGUCAAAUAUACUCUGAUCUUUCAAUUGAGAAGACUGGUCCAAUGUCACUUGAUUGAGGACAAAGUCUUGGAUAACCCACUGGUGUUAAUGUUUAAAUGAAAGCAGUACUUUCAUUUCCUCAUUUCUGUGAAGGUUAAUAUAAUUUUACAUCAAUAUAGUUUUAUACCUUAAUAGUAAAUUUUCAAUUAAUUUUUUUGAGAGGGAGGGGGGAAGAGAGAGAGAGAAAGAGAGAGAGAGAAUGAGC
RNAcentral lists this long non-coding RNA (469 nucleotides) under Vulpes vulpes (red fox). Its description in RNAcentral is "lncRNA (ENSVVUG00000011069.1)". Lineage: Eukaryota; Metazoa; Chordata; Mammalia; Carnivora; Canidae. The record is from RNAcentral.